Molecule: ribosomal RNA, 324 nt
Filed under: uncultured eukaryote
Lineage: Eukaryota
Description: partial 18S ribosomal RNA
Rfam family: Eukaryotic small subunit ribosomal RNA
Source: RNAcentral
CCCUUAGAUGUUCUGGACCGCACGCGCGCUACACUGAUGCAUUCAACGAGUUUCUUCCUGGUCCGAGAGGAAUGGGUAACCUUUUGAAAGUGCAUCGUGAUAGGGAUAGACUAUUGCAAUUAUUGGUCUUCAACGAGGAAUUCCUAGUAGACGUAGUUCAUCAGACUGCAUCGAUUACGUCCCUGCCCUUUGUACACACCGCCCGUCGCUCCUACCGAUUGAAUGCUCAGGUGAGCCAUUCGGACUUUCAUCAUGCUGGUUUCCAGUUUUGAUGAAGGAAAGUCUUGCGAACCUUAUCAUUUAGAGGAAGGAGAAGUCGUAACA